GACGGAGUAGCUCAGUCUGGUAGAGCAAGCGGCUCAUACCCGCUAUGUCGCUGGUUUCGAGAUUUGUUCA
Molecule: transfer RNA, 70 nt
Filed under: Candidatus Omnitrophica bacterium 4484_213
Lineage: Bacteria; Pseudomonadati; Candidatus Omnitrophota
Description: tRNA-Met
Source: RNAcentral